CCUACGGGCGGCAGCAGUGGGGAAUAUUGGGCAAUGGGCGCAAGCCUGACCCAGCAACGCCGCGUGAAGGAAGAAGGCUUUCGGGUUGUAAACUUCUUUUGUCAGGGACGAAGCAAGUGACGGUACCUGACGAAUAAGCCACGGCUAACUACGUGCCAGCAGCCGCGGUAAUACGUAGGUGGCAAGCGUUAUCCGGAUUAAUGGGGGGAAAGGGCGGGGAGGCGGGAAUGCAAGUCAGAUGUGAAAACUAUGGGCUCAACCCAUAGCCUGCAUUUGAAACUGUAUUUCUUGAGUGCUGGAGAGGCAAUCGGAAUUCCGUGGGUAGCGGUGAAAUGCGUAGAUAUACUGAGGAACACCAGUGGCGAAGGCGGAUUGCUGGACAGUAACUGACGCUGAGGCGCGAAAGCGUGGGGAGCAAACAGGAUUAGAUACCCCGGUAGUC
This 442-nucleotide ribosomal RNA is filed under the name uncultured bacterium. RNAcentral's name for it is "partial 16S ribosomal RNA". It matches the Rfam family "Bacterial small subunit ribosomal RNA", at positions 338 to 795 of the family's 1533-position model. The record is from RNAcentral.